Molecule: RNA transcript, 2472 nt
Organism: Phragmites australis (common reed)
Lineage: Eukaryota; Viridiplantae; Streptophyta; Magnoliopsida; Poales; Poaceae
Gene name: lysine--tRNA ligase, chloroplastic/mitochondrial-like
Exons: 17
Source: RefSeq, a predicted model, not a curated record
UUCUCUUGAUCUGCUCUCUAUACUGCACCCGCCAGAAGCUUAGACCCUAUCUUCGGCCCCGCGUCGGCCGCCCGUUGCGGCAAACAAGCGGCUAGCCGCCGGCGCAACCAGAUUAGGUUUUUUUGUCCCGCCGUCCGUCCGGCCCCGAGACGCCACGAGACAAACCCACCAAUCCCUCCGGCCCGGAGUAAUGGAGGCGCUGCGGGUGUGGAGGGCUUCCUCUAAUCUCUUCGGUUUCGCGGCGUCCCGCGCCGCCACAGCCACCGCCGCGAGGCCCCUCCGCCUUCACAGCCGCUGCUGCUCCGCGGCUGCCGCCACCACAAAACCGCCGCCGCCGCCUCAGGACCGCCGCUGCCGCAGCACCUCUUCCUCCACCUCCACCUCCGACCGCGACUCCAUCCGCGCCAUCCGAAUCAAAAAGGUUGAGGAGCUAAGAAGGAAGGGUUACGAGCCAUACGCGUACAAGUGGGAUAGGACUCACACGACCAAGGAGCUUCAGGAGGAGUACAUCCAUCUUGAGAAUGGCGAGGCCUGUGAAGAGGCGGCCGUGUCCAUUGCCGGGAGGAUUGUUGCCCGAAGGGUAUUCGGAAAGCUUGUUUUCAUGACAAUAAGAGAUGACACCGGGACUAUUCAGCUUUAUUGUGAGAAGGGCAGCCUUUCAGAGGACCAAUUUGAGCAACUGAAGGCAUUUAUUGAUAUUGGUGAUAUAUUAGGCGCAAGUGGAUCCAUGAAAAAGACAGAAAAAGGGGAACUAUCUGUUUUUGUGAAUUUUUUUGAAAUCCUCACAAAAUCCUUACUCCCACUACCAGACAAGUAUCAUGGCUUAACUGAUGUGGACAAACGUUAUCGUCAAAGGUAUGUUGACAUGAUUGCAAAUCCUGAGGUUGCAGAUGUAUUCCGAACUAGAGCAAAGGUUGUUUCUGAAAUCCGCAAGACAAUGGAAUCAUUCGGUUUCAUUGAAGUUGAAACUCCAGUUCUACAGGGAGCAGCAGGUGGUGCUGAAGCAAGACCUUUUAUAACCUACCAUAACUCACUUCAAAGAGAUCUUUACUUGAGGAUUGCUACAGAGCUGCAUUUGAAAAGGAUGUUGGUUGGAGGGCUUGAGAAGGUUUAUGAGAUUGGAAGAAUAUUUCGGAAUGAAGGCAUCUCUACUCGUCAUAAUCCUGAAUUUACAACUAUUGAGAUGUAUGAAGCAUAUUCAGACUAUGAAAGCAUGAUGAAUAUGGCUGAAGAAAUUGUCACUCGAUGUGCUAUGGCUACUUAUGGCAAGCUUAAGAUUGAUUAUCAGGGAACUGAAAUCUCCCUCGAAAGACCAUGGAGGAGGGAGACAAUGCAUUCUCUUGUCAAAGAAGCAACCGGAAUUGACUUUAACAGCUUUGGACAAGAUGUUGAAUCUGCUAAAAAUGCGGCAAAAGGACUGUCAGGGGUCAAAAUAGGAAUCAAUGAAAGUACUUCAUUAAAAGCCUGUUCAUCUGUUGGACAUGUUCUCAAUGAGGUUUUUGAGACUGUUGUUGAAUCUACUCUUGUACAACCAACAUUCGUCCUUGACUACCCAGUUGAGAUAUCACCAUUGGCAAAACCACAUCGGAGUUAUGCUGGCCUUACCGAGCGAUUCGAACUUUUCAUAUGCGGUCGUGAGAUUGGCAAUGCAUUUUCUGAGCUCACGGACCCAAUUGAUCAGAGGAGCCGCUUUGAAAAUCAGAUAAAACAGCACAAUGCUAAGCGUGCUGCAAUGGCUAAGGAGGUCAAAUCUACUGAAGGUCAAGGAGACGAGGACGAUUAUUCGUAUGAAGUGUCUUUAGAUGAAGACUUCUUGACUUCAUUAGAAUACGGAAUGCCACCAGCUUCUGGAAUGGGCCUCGGUAUUGACCGGUUAGUAAUGCUUUUGACGAACGCUGCCAGCAUAAGGGAUGUUAUUGCCUUUCCUGUCUUAAAGAUUCAGCAAUAGAGCCUUCAGUCAAGGAGGUGUGCAGUUCGAUAAUCUCCAAGAUCAAGCUUUCGAGGAUUUCGAGCAACCCUCCACUGAAGGCACCACUGGACGGUUAAGUGGCACAAGAGGGGGCUUCUACGUAAUGAAAUCAUCUGUUAGCAGUGAAAUCUCAGUGGGUUCCUGCAGGGGUUAGUGGGAGCUUUGUUAUGGCCUUGUAGUGAGAUCCCGACUCCACACCUAGAAGUGUACAGCAACACGGGAAUCACGACUCUUGGAGAAAGCUGUGCAAACUUGUUCAGAAGCCGUCAAUGAAGCUGCAACCUUUGACGAGGAUGACUUCGACCCAGACUUGUUUUUCUAGGCUGGAGUGCCCCUGGUCGAUGCCUGUGAUAGAUGGAAGCCCCACUGGCGCUGAAGCCCCUAUUUAGUUUCCCCUGUGUUUUCUUUUAGCUCCUCGGGUCCUUUUGUAAGAAGGUUGGUAACGUUAUUGUAAUAAUGACAUUGAUGAUGUAGCACAUGUAUGGAAACUUAAUCCUGUCAUA